RNAcentral lists this ribosomal RNA (274 nucleotides) under uncultured bacterium. RNAcentral's name for it is "partial 16S ribosomal RNA". It matches the Rfam family "Bacterial small subunit ribosomal RNA", at positions 523 to 796 of the family's 1533-position model. The record is from RNAcentral.
AUACGGAGGGUGCAAGCGUUACUCGGAAUCACUGGGCGUAAAGCGCGCGCAGGCGGCUAUUUAAGUUGGAUGUGAAAGCCUACGGCUCAACCGUAGAACUGCAUCCAAAACUAUUUAGCUAGAGUGUGGGAGAGGAAGAUGGAAUUAGUUGUGUAGGGGUAAAAUCCGUAGAGAUAACUAGGAAUACCAAAAGCGAAGGCAAUCUUCUGGAACACUACUGACGCUGAGGCGCGAAAGCGAGGGGAGCAAACAGGAUUAGAAACCCGUGUAGUCC